CGUGGAAAAAGAGCAGGUGACACGGCAGGAGCAAAGACCUGGAGGCAGGGUGGGCGGGUUGAGGGUCUGUGGGCUUGGCCUCACCCGUGUCCUUUCUCUGCCUAGGACCUAUACUGCCCCUGUACCCCACCCAAGCCAUGGGCCC
MicroRNA precursor from Equus caballus (horse), 145 nucleotides. The record is from Ensembl. NCBI's taxonomy places the organism in Eukaryota, Metazoa, Chordata, Mammalia, Perissodactyla, Equidae.